Molecule: transfer-messenger RNA, 371 nt
Filed under: Levilactobacillus bambusae
Lineage: Bacteria; Bacillati; Bacillota; Bacilli; Lactobacillales; Lactobacillaceae
Description: Standard tmRNA
Rfam family: transfer-messenger RNA
About the family: Bacterial tmRNA, also known as 10Sa RNA or SsrA, is named for its dual tRNA and mRNA-like properties.
Source: Rfam by way of RNAcentral
GGGGUUGUUAUGGAUUCGACGGGUAUAGGUCGAGCCCGGAUUGCGUUUCGAAGCGGCAUCUUCGUUAAAAGGUCCAGUUUUAAAUUAUAACUGCAAACAAUAAUUCUAACUCUUACGCAUUGGCUGCCUAAUAAGCGCAUGCGUAGAUCCUCUCUACCUUGUCUGCGGGUAGAAUCUGGGUCCUAAAUUAGCGGACUUACGUUAAUCGCUCACACCUGAAGUAGAUUAAAAGAGAUAAAUCAGGUUAGCUAAUCUCGUUAGCCUUGACUGACGGCGCUCUGAUUAGUGAACUUCAAAUAGUCACUCUAUGAACGUAGAUAUCCGGGUGGCGAUAUGCUCGGACGCGGGUUCGACUCCCGCCAACUCCAUUG